This 498-nucleotide ribosomal RNA is filed under the name uncultured bacterium. RNAcentral describes it as "partial 16S ribosomal RNA". It matches the Rfam family "Bacterial small subunit ribosomal RNA", at positions 29 to 523 of the family's 1533-position model. The record is from RNAcentral.
AUUGAACGCUGGCGGCAUGCUUUACACAUGCAAGUCGAACGGUAACAGGCCGCAAGGUGCUGACGAGUGGCGAACGGGUGAGUAAUGCAUCGGAACGUGCCCAGUCGUGGGGGAUAACGCAGCGAAAGCUGUGCUAAUACCGCAUACGAUCUGUGGAUGAAAGCGGGGGACCUUCGGGCCUCGCGCAAUUGGAGCGGCCGAUGUCAGAUUAGGUAGUUGGUGGGGUAAAGGCUCACCAAGCCGACGAUCUGGAGCUGGUCUGAGAGGACGACCAGCCACACUGGGACUGAGACACGGCCCAGACUCCUACGGGAGGCAGCAGUGGGGAAUUUUGGACAAUGGGCGCAAGCCUGAUCCAGCAAUGCCGCGUGCAGGAAGAAGGCCUUCGGGUUGUAAACUGCUUUUGUACGGAGCGAAAAGGCUCCCUCUAAUACAGGGGGCUCAUGACGGUACCGUAAGAAUAAGCACCGGCUAACUACGUGCCAGCCGCCGCGGUAA